CCCUUUUCUUUCAGGAACUGUUAUGUGUCUUUGAAAGAACUGUCAACAUAAACGUUCGCAAAUGUGUUUUCUAACACAUAUAAUCGCAAAUGUUCAUCUUCACGCACACUUACUCAUCCUUAUAAACACACACACAAACAUCAUAUGUCCAUGAAUACCUUCAAGAUGUAAAGACGACACAACAUCUUAAGAAUGACAAUCAUUAUAGACGUUUCGUAGUCAACAAAAACGUCUCCUUUCACUGAACGAACAUACCAGAAAAAUCUGAAAUAAAUCAAGAAGGCCAUAGAUGGUUCCCCACUCUAUUCCAAGAACAAAAGUAGAAUGUUCAGCAGAGUAUCAGGUAAACAAGGCCCAGCCAAACCGAAACAUCCUGAUUCAAACUCUCAGUUCUCUUGGCCUUGGAUAGGCAAAACAACGAAUGCAAUGACGCACAAUCAACUGCCUCCGGAGUCUGGAUCAAGCACGAGACAGCACAGCGAUGAGAAAUGGCAGUUGCACAUACCCUGAAACUGAAUGUACAUACGGCCAUGGAGCACACAUAUAAAUUAUGAAGCCUAGAGACUGCGAAAAUUUCCUACUGCAAAAUAGGAAAUGCUCCAGUAAGACUACUUGUCAGUGGCACUUUAAUCUGGGCCACAACAGAGAAGAUCAAAACUCCAUAUGUACAAAUAAUUUGAUUACGACUCAUUACAGCUGCAUGCAUUAUAUGCUUUUCCAGAUCUAUUGAGUUCUCCGGCUUCUGGAGGUGGCUCUUGCCGUCAGGCGUCAGCGAGCCGUUAGAUGAUCGUCCUCCUCACCACCACAAGCUGAUACAUCAUAUAGAUUGGUUAGAAUGAAGCUAGACAAACCUCUAGACGAUAUAAAGAUCAUGAAUCAGAGAGCAGACGUAGCAGCUUUUUUAGGUGAAAAAGAACAUCAGCAGCAGCAGCUCCAACUUAUUUGUCACAAAAGCAAAUUGCAUAAACUGAAGACAAGGCGGCAAUUAUAGAGAGGGAGGGAGGGAGGGAGGGAGAAAGAGAGAGAGAGAGAGAAACUCUGAGGCUUAUUAGAACUUCUGUUCCUUCAUUGCUUAGAAAAAAAGGCUAAAAUGCCAGCUUGUUUAUACAGCACACAACCUCCUUGAACGACCAGACUGGAUUCUAGCCAACUCACUGGAUGCAUACGGAAUAAAACCAACCGACUCAAACUAUUCCUUGCCUAAAACAACUCAAACUAUCUUCUGUCUCUAAUGUGGUUGUACAUAGACCUGCUGCUGUCAUAUUCUACAAGGAUACAACUCUUCAAUUGCUAAACAUGUCAUCUCCUAUUCUCCUUAUGACUAUCCUAUACCUGUCCUAAUUUUCAUGAUAUUCACGAACAAUUUGGGUAUUACUCUCUGUACAGGGUCGGUGGUGUAGUACAGAAGUUCUAGUAAGCCUCAGAGUGUGGUGACUCUUUCCGUAACUCUUGAUGCCAUCGAGGAAUUUAUUCCUCCACUAAACAACUUCACAUUGGGCAGACAGCAUACUAAUUUUGAAACAAGAAUAGGUAGGACGAACUGGUUAUCUGAGAUUUAUAGAUGAGGGUGGACCCCAAGACCGACCCUGUACUAUACCACCGAGACACAUAAGUGUCACAUGGACAACAUGUUACGAACACCAAAAUUUGAACCUUGGUUGUAAUCAAGUCAUCGUGGAACCAGAUGCUAAGCAUUCCAUUGAUGUUAUGCACAUAGUUUCUAUUGGAUGGGUGACCAUUUUGCAUAUGCAUUUUUCAAAACUAUUUGUAGGCUAUAUGCCACAACUCAUGCCCGGGGACUUGGCGAGAAUCUGAAACUGAGUGAUAGAAACUCUUCAUGGUAACAACUUCAGGAUGAAUGAAAUGCAAGCCUUUGAUCUGUAGCAACUUGUGAUUUUCCUCUUGUCAAAAGAAACUUAUAAUUUUCCCAAGAACCGAGCCACCAAGAGUAUCCUCUGUCCUCCGAAAACUACCCUUCAAUCCAGUCUAUGUACGAUUCCAACAGGCAUAGGAGAAAACUAUAUACAUUUCCAAUGCCACUGGCCAGAAUCAUGAGGUGCUAACAGUGUGUUUGGUGCAGGGGACAUCACAGGACGGUUCACGGAUAUCCAUCUUGUAUCUGAAGUAUUCAGAUCCUUUAUGAGAAGUAUUCAGGUUUCAGAGGAACAUGUCAAGAAGUAUUGCCAUCCAUCGUUUAGUCUAGGAUGUAAUCUGGCUAUGAGGAUUAUCUUAUCUUCAACAUAUUAAUUCACUAUGUUAAACUAGAAACUAAACAAGUUCACUACUCGUAUCCUGAAAAUGGACUGACCCACAAUAACAUAUUGAGGGAGGACCCCCUGGAAAAAUAAUCCUAAGGAAAAAAGGAAGGACCAUCAAGCUGGUGAGUGAACAAUGAAAUAAUCAAACCACACAUCCAGUGCAAAAAAAAUGUAUGCCCUACUUCCAAAAGAAAAAAACAAGAGCACAAAAUCAAGUGGUUCUAAGAGCCUACUUUCACAGUUUCAGUAUCAACUAAAUGUAGCUACUAGCUACUCCCUCCGUUCCUAAAUAUAAGUCUUUUUAGACAUUUCAACAGGGGACUACAUACGGAACAAAAUGAGUGAACCUACACACUAAAAUAUGUCUAUAUACAUCCGUAUGUAGUUUCCUAUUGAAAUGUCUAAAAAGACUUAUAUUUAGGAACUUAGGGAGUAGAAAAGCUGACUACGAUCAUGGCUAAAAUACUCUGCUUAUCUCCGAUACAGAUGGUCUCCACGAGGAUACUCGGACUAAUACUAACAUAUCCCGUCACAGCUUCUUAGAAAUUAAUAAACACACCAUAAGUUGCAGCAGCUUUGAUUCUUUGACGAACAAAACAAUGACCAUGAUGGGAGCUAAAGAUUACAUCUACUUUUCCCUAUGUCUGCCGGAUUAUCUUAUUCAAUUGGUAGGGAACCUAUCCAAAAAGUUGAGUGCACUUUCAGGAUAUACUUUCUUACAUCUGAUUAAUAUAAGCAUAAGCAUAAUCCGACGCCCUAAUGAGUUGACAAGGCAGAACCAAGUCUAAUUGAUCAAAAGUGGAUCCCGACACCAAACCAUGGUAUUAAGGCAUCAAGUUGCACAUUCCGGUACCAUCUCAAUCCUAGGCGAUCUCAUCAUCAGUCCCAUGUGAUGUGAGUUUUCUUCUAUUUGUUUUCUGAUUUUAAAAUUUGUCUGCCAGGGCAACAGCAUGCAUAAUUUGGCACAAAGAUGCUAAAGAGCAAACGAAACACAGUUAGAAAUGGCAUCAGCAGGACGUACCGCCGCAGCAGAAGCAGCAGCAGCAGCACGUGAGGAGCAUGGCGGCGUCGCAGGCGAGCUCGAGCGCGGUGGCCACCAUCGAGCCCCUCGACGACGUCGGGCGGCCCUCGAGCAGAGGCGCCUGCUGCGGGCCCUCGUCCCCGUCCUGGCCCUGCUGCCCCUGCCCCUGCCCCUGCCGCUGCGCGCGUUUCUUGUGGGCGAGGUUGAACUCCAGCUUCUCCAGGUAGGCGUGCUUGAACGAGUCCCGGAUCCGGAGCGACGGCCAGAGGUGCAUCUUCGCCGGGCGUGGAGGGGGCGGGGGCGGCGGCGGCGGGGGUUGGCCGGGCUGGGGAAUGUCCUAGGGAUCGACGGGGGGUGGCGUGGUGGACCGAGGAAGGCGGAGGAGAAGCGUGAAUUUUUGGCUUCGCCUUGAUUGGGACGGUGCGGGUUGCGGAUUUNNN
This 3719-nucleotide long non-coding RNA is filed under the name Hordeum vulgare. RNAcentral describes it as "long non-coding RNA (HVUL_LNC005220)". Lineage: Eukaryota; Viridiplantae; Streptophyta; Magnoliopsida; Poales; Poaceae. The record is from RNAcentral.